This 253-nucleotide ribosomal RNA is filed under the name uncultured bacterium. Its description in RNAcentral is "partial 16S ribosomal RNA". It matches the Rfam family "Bacterial small subunit ribosomal RNA", at positions 524 to 776 of the family's 1533-position model. The record is from RNAcentral.
UACAGAGGUCCCAAGCGUUGUUCGGAUUCAUUGGGCGUAAAGGGUGCGUAGGUGGCGUCGUAAGUCGGGUGUGAAAUUUCGGAGCUCAACUCCGAAACUGCAUUCGAUACUGCGGUGCUUGAGGACUGGAGAGGAGACUGGAAUUUACGGUGUAGCAGUGAAAUGCGUAGAGAUCGUAAGGAAGACCAGUGGCGAAGGCGGGUCUCUGGACAGUUCCUGACACUGAGGCACGAAGGCCAGGGGGGCAAACGGG